This 412-nucleotide ribosomal RNA is filed under the name Porphyromonas sp. RNAcentral describes it as "bacterial SSU rRNA". It matches the Rfam family "Bacterial small subunit ribosomal RNA", at positions 1118 to 1533 of the family's 1533-position model. The record is from RNAcentral. Lineage: Bacteria; Pseudomonadati; Bacteroidota; Bacteroidia; Bacteroidales; Porphyromonadaceae.
CCAUCAGGUAAUGCUGGGAACUCCGUAGAGCCUGCCGUCGUAAGGCGAGAGGAAGGUGGGGAUGACGUCAAAUCAGCACGGCCCUUACAUCCGGGGCGACACACGUGUUACAAUGGUAAGGACAAAGGGCAGCUACCUGGCGACAGGAUGCGAAUCUCUAAACCUUAUCACAGUUCGGAUCGGAGUCUGCAACUCGACUCCGUGAAGCUGGAUUCGCUAGUAAUCGCGCAUCAGCCAUGGCGCGGUGAAUACGUUCCCGGGCCUUGUACACACCGCCCGUCAAGCCAUGGGAGUCUGGAGUACCUAAAGUCCGUAACCGCGAGGGUCGGCCUAGGGUAAUACAGGUGACUGGGGCUAAGUCGUAACAAGGUAGCCGUACCGGAAGGUGCGGCUGGAACACCUCCUUUCUGGA